This 301-nucleotide ribosomal RNA is filed under the name uncultured bacterium. RNAcentral's name for it is "partial 16S ribosomal RNA". It matches the Rfam family "Bacterial small subunit ribosomal RNA", at positions 509 to 807 of the family's 1533-position model. The record is from RNAcentral.
CAGUCGCCACGGGAAUACGGAGGGGGCUAGCGUUGUUCGGAAUUACUGGGCGUAAAGCGCACGUAGGCGGCUUGGUAAGUUAGAGGUGAAAGCCCGGAGCUCAACUCCGGAAUUGCCUUUAAGACUGCCGGGCUAGCAGGUGAGAGAGGUAAGUGGAAUUCCGAGUGUAGAGGUGAAAUUCGUAGAUAUUCGGAAGAACACCAGUGGCGAAGGCGGCUUACUGGCUCAUACUGGACGCUGAGGUGCGAAAGCGUGGGGAGCAAACAGGAUUAGAUACCCGUGUAGUCCCUGUCUCUUAUAC